GAUGAACGCUGGCGGCGUGCCUAAUACAUGCAAGUCGAGCGAACGGACGAGAAGCUUUCUUCUCUGAUGUUAGCGGCGGACGGGUGAGUAACACGUGGAUAACCUACCUAUAAGACUGGGAUAACUUCGGGAAACCGUAGCUAAUACCGGAUAAUAUUUUGAACCGCAUGGUUCAAAAGUGAAAGACGGUCUUGCUGUCACUUAUAGAUGGAUCCGCGCUGCAUUAGCUAGUUGGUAAGGUAACGGCUUACCAAGGCAACGAUGCAUAGCCGACCUGAGAGGGUGAUCGGCCACACUGGAACUGAGACACGGUCCAGACUCCUACGGGAGGCAGCAGUAGGGAAUCUUCCGCAAUGGGCGAAAGCCUGACGGAGCAACGCCGCGUGAGUGAUGAAGGUCUUCGGAUCGUAAAACUCUGUUAUUAGGGAAGAACAUAUGUGUAAGUAACUGUGCACAUCUUGACGGUACCUAAUCAGAAAGCCACGGCUAACUACGUG
This 497-nucleotide ribosomal RNA is filed under the name uncultured bacterium. Its description in RNAcentral is "partial 16S ribosomal RNA". It matches the Rfam family "Bacterial small subunit ribosomal RNA", at positions 28 to 507 of the family's 1533-position model. The record is from RNAcentral.